Molecule: ribosomal RNA, 253 nt
Filed under: uncultured bacterium
Lineage: Bacteria
Description: partial 16S ribosomal RNA
Rfam family: Bacterial small subunit ribosomal RNA
Source: RNAcentral
CACGAACUGUGCAAACGUUAUUCGGAAUCACUGGGCUUAAAGAGUUCGUAGGCGGCAUGUCAAGUCGGGUGUGAAAUCCCUCGGCUCAACCGAGGAAUUGCGUCCGAAACUGGCGUGCUUGAGUGAGAUAGAGGUGAGCGGAACUGAUGGUGGAGCGGUGAAAUGCGUUGAUAUCAUCAGGAACACCGGUGGCGAAAGCGGCUCACUGGGUCUCAACUGACGCUGAGGAACGAAAGCUAGGGGAGCGAACGGG